UACGUAGGGUGCAAGCGUUUCCCGGAUUUAUUGGGCGUAAAGAGCUUGUAGGCGGUUUGUCGCGUCUGCUGUGAAAAUCCGGGGCUCAACCCCGGACUUGCAGUGGGUACGGGCAGACUAGAGUGUGGUAGGGGAGACUGGAAUUCCUGGUGUAGCGGUGAAAUGCGCAGAUAUCAGGAGGAACACCGAUGGCGAAGGCAGGUCUCUGGGCCACUACUGACGCUGAGAAGCGAAAGCAUGGGGAGCGAACAGG
This 253-nucleotide ribosomal RNA is filed under the name uncultured bacterium. RNAcentral describes it as "partial 16S ribosomal RNA". It matches the Rfam family "Bacterial small subunit ribosomal RNA", at positions 524 to 776 of the family's 1533-position model. The record is from RNAcentral.